This is a long non-coding RNA of Helianthus annuus (common sunflower), 1677 nucleotides long. RefSeq lists it as uncharacterized. Lineage: Eukaryota; Viridiplantae; Streptophyta; Magnoliopsida; Asterales; Asteraceae. The record is from RefSeq and is a predicted model, not a curated record. The transcript is spliced from 5 exons.
UCACACCUCGCCCUCCACCGCAUCCAGAUUCAUAUAUGAUAAUAAAAAAACUGAAUGAACAGUUCAUUGAGGGUAAUAUGGGGAUUCUACAUUUUAACCCUUUACACGUACUUCACACCUCGCCCUCCACCGCAUCCAGAUUAGAGAGAUGGAUACAGAGAGAAAGCGCACCUAUACCACGGCAGAGAGAGACAGAGGAGCGUCGGAGAUGGAGGAACCGACCAUCAUCUCCCAUCGGCAACCCUCUUGGCCUUCCGUCAGACCGGUGGUGCGUUGUGGUGGUUAAGACGCGUGAACCGAUGGUAUAAGGCGGCGGUAGACGAGGUUAGCGGUGAUGCUGUGGUGGUUUUGACGUGGGUAACGAUUGUAGAAGGCGGUGGUGGAUGCGCAUUCCACAGUCAUAGUUUGCCGGAGAUAAUGUUAUCGGUCGUCGGUGAAGGCGACAGUGACGAUUGCGGGUUCUAGGGUUCCGGCGAGUGUGCCCAUGACUCUCAUCGGACAAUCUAGAGAUAGAAUGAGAUACUUGAAGGUGAUCUUGAACAACCACAACCUCAGUGACAUGAAUCGGUGCUCCGACGAAGUCGGUUAGGUUCCACCGUUAAUCUUCAGUGUUAGUUAUGGGUUCAGGAUCAGGCCAUGCUUCAACUUUGGACUCUUGGAUUCUUGGAGGGACAUUUUUAUUUCAACAGAUCCUUGCCUUUGCUUUUCUUAUUUUUUUUCCCAGAGGUGUUGGCACCACUGCCAAAAGCAUUUGCAGUCUUCAUGGUGCACUUGGCAACCAUUCCGAUCACCGACACUAGAUUCAACCCAGCCUGAAGUUGCCGGUUGGUGAAGAAUGACGAUGGUAACGAGUUAACCGGUGCUACUCGGGGCUGUUAUGGAUCAUAUAUGGGACAGUAGGAUUCAAGGCAAAGCGGGUCAAACAUGAUCAACUCGAUCCAAAAGAGCAGUCAUCGUGGACAGACUUUGGACAGAUUGUUAAGCAGCUAUAAGAGAGUACCUACUCUUGAUGUUGAUUGGCACAACAAUGUCUCAUUUGCAACGUGUUCAAUUGAUAACGUGAUUUAUGUUUGUAAAGUUGGAGAUUAUAAACCUGUAAAAGCUUCUGUGGGGCAUCAGGUGGUUAUCAUGUUUGUGAGUUAAUUGAAGGCAUUGACUAGAACGUUUUGCGUUGAGGGACGAGUUGGGAGUCCCAAGAGGAACUUACCAUGGCAUUGGCUCGCAAGGGCCAUGUCAACGUUCUCUUCGCCCCGCUCAAACUGCACCACAUUUGAGUGCUUUUAGACUUUUGUCAUUAUAGCUGCCUUGAUUUAGAUGAACUAAAGAUUUGAAGAGCUCGACUUUUCAGCUACAAUGGACUGGAGAUAGCUACAGUGACCUGGAGAUAGCUACAAGAGGGUUUACAGAAGAUUAAUCACAAGUAGGAAAAAUGUAGUUUGUUAAUAUGAUUGCAAAGAGGAGGGUUUACAAAAGAUGAAUAACAAGUUAAAGAUUAAUCACAAGUAGGAAGGUAGUUUGUUAAUAUGAUUGCAAAGAUGCAAUGAUUAUGAUAGAAACCCGAGUCCAAUGUUGGGUCAAAAAUAAUUCAGGUUAUGAGUUGUAAUGUAAUGAUUCGGUUUAGCGCAAUUGCGUUAUGAGUUUACGUUCAUGUUAUCACACCAAGAACUGUUCGGUUUC